RNAcentral lists this ribosomal RNA (331 nucleotides) under uncultured eukaryote. Its description in RNAcentral is "partial 18S ribosomal RNA". It matches the Rfam family "Eukaryotic small subunit ribosomal RNA", at positions 1470 to 1796 of the family's 1831-position model. The record is from RNAcentral.
CCCUUAGAUGUUCUGGGCCGCACGCGCGCUACACUGUUCGACGCAGCGAGUCUUAACCUUGACCGAAAGGUUUGGGUAAUCUUCAGCAAAGUCGAACGUGAUGGGGAUCGAUCAUUGCAAUUAUUGAUCGUGAACGAGGAAUUCCUAGUAAGUGCAAGUCAUCAGCUUGCGCUGAUUACGUCCCUGCCCUUUGUACACACCGCCCGUCGCUACUACCGAUUGAAUGGUUUAGUGAGAUCUCUGGAUUGACGCUGGCUAGGGGGCGACCCUUGGCCAGACUGCUGAGAAACUGCUCAAACUUGAUCAUUUAGAGGAAGUAAAAGUCGUAACA